AAGCCCUUUUAAAUGUAGUCCUGUGAGGCUGCCAAAGGGUCUUGGCUUUCAUAUGUCAAAUUUGCCAUAUGAAAGUAUAGGACUCUUUGUGCACGGACACAAAGAGUUUUUUUAU
Molecule: non-coding RNA, 115 nt
Organism: Bacillus cereus
Lineage: Bacteria; Bacillati; Bacillota; Bacilli; Caryophanales; Bacillaceae
Source: Rfam